CCUACGGGUGGCAGCAGUAGGGAAUAUUGCUCAAUGGGGGAAACCCUGAAGCAGCAACGCCGCGUGGAGGAUGAAGGUUUUCGGAUUGUAAACUCCUUUUGUUAGAGAAGAUAAUGACGGUAUCUAACGAAUAAGCACCGGCUAACUCCGUGCCAGCAGCCGCGGUAAUACGGAGGGUGCAAGCGUUACUCGGAAUCACUGGGCGUAAAGAGCGCGUAGGCGGGAUAGCAAGUCAGAUGGGAAAUCCUAGGGCUUAACCAUAGAACUGCAUUUGAAACGGUUAUUCUAGAGUAUGUGAGAGGUAGGUGGAAUUCUUGGUCUAGGGGUAAAAUCCGUAGAGAUCAAGAGGACUACUCAUUGCGAAGGCGACCUGCUAGACCAUACCUGACGCUGAUGCGCGACAGCGUGGGGAGCAAACAGGAUUAGAUACCCCAGUAGUC
RNAcentral lists this ribosomal RNA (440 nucleotides) under uncultured bacterium. Its description in RNAcentral is "partial 16S ribosomal RNA". It matches the Rfam family "Bacterial small subunit ribosomal RNA", at positions 338 to 795 of the family's 1533-position model. The record is from RNAcentral.